This 652-nucleotide ribosomal RNA is filed under the name uncultured Akkermansia sp. RNAcentral describes it as "bacterial SSU rRNA". It matches the Rfam family "Bacterial small subunit ribosomal RNA", at positions 1 to 681 of the family's 1533-position model. Lineage: Bacteria; Pseudomonadati; Verrucomicrobiota; Verrucomicrobiia; Verrucomicrobiales; Akkermansiaceae. The record is from RNAcentral.
GAAUUCACUAGUGAUUUGGCGGCGUGGUUAAGACAUGCAAGUCGAACGGGAUCCCAGGAGCUUGCUCCUGGGUGAGAGUGGCGAACGGGUGAGUAAUGCGUGACCGACCUGCCCCAUACACCGGAAUAGCUCCUGGAAACGGGUGGUAAUGCCGGAUGCUCCAGUUGGAUGCAUGUCCUUCUGGGAAAGAUUCAUCGGUAUGGGAUGGGGUCGCGUCCUAUCAGCUUGAUGGCGGGGUAACGGCCCACCAUGGCUUCGACGGGUAGCCGGCCUGAGAGGGCGACCGGCCACAUUGGGACUGAGAUACGGCCCAGACUCCUACGGGAGGCAGCAGUGGGGAAUAUUGCACAAUGGGCGCAAGCCUGAUGCAGCGACGCCGCGUGCGGGAUGACGGCCUUCGGGUUGUAAACCGCUUUUGACUGGGAGCAAGCCCUUCGGGGUGAGUGUACCUUUCGAAUAAGCACCGGCUAACUACGUGCCGGCAGCCGCGGUAAUACGUAGGGUGCAAGCGUUAUCCGGAAUUAUUGGGCGUAAAGGGCUCGUAGGCGGUUCGUCGCGUCCGGUGUGAAAGUCCAUCGCUUAACGGUGGAUCCGCGCCGGGUACGGGCGGGCUUGAGUGCGGUAGGGGAGACUGGAAUUCACGGUGUAGCAA